UCAAGCUACAAAGGGCGCAUGGUGAAUGCCUUGGUAUCAGGAGCCGAUGAAGGACGUGAUAAGCUGCGAUAAGCUUCGGGUAGGCGCACAUAGCCUGAGAUCCGAAGAUCUCCGAAUGAGGAAACUCACAUGGGAAACCCCAUGUAUCAUUAAGUGAAUACAUAGCUUAAUGAAGGUAACCCAGGGAACUGAAACAUCUAAGUACCUGGAGGAAGAGAAAGAAAAAUCGAUUUUCUUAGUAGCGGCGAGCGAAAGGGAAAAAGCCCAAACCGGAAACUUGUUUCCGGGGUUGUGGACAGAACAUAACGAUUGGUAGGACGUAAUCGAAGAGAACUGGAAAGUUCCACCGUAGAAGGUAAUAGUCCUGUAGAUGAAACGGGAAAUCAAUCAGUUCUGAUCCAGAGUACCACGAGACACGUGAAACCUUGUGGGAAGCAGGGAGGACCACCUCCCAAGGCUAAAUACUACCUGAUGACCGAUAGUGAAGCAGUACCGUGAGGGAAAGGUGAAAAGAACCCCGGGAGGGGAGUGAAAUAGAACCUGAAACCGUGUGCCUACAACCGCUCAGAGCCCCUUAUGAGGGUGAUGAGGUGCUUUUUGUAGAACGAGCCAACGAGUUACGGUAUGUAGCAAGGUUAAGUACUUAAGGUACGGAGCCGAAGGGAAACCGAGUCUGAAUAGGGCGACUAGUUGCAUGCCGUAGACCCGAAACCGGGUGACCUAUCCAUGGCCAGGUUGAAGCGAGGGUAAAACCUCGUGGAGGACCGAACCACGUUGCUGUUGAAAAAGCAUGGGAUGAGCUGUGGAUAGCGGAGAAAUUCCAAUCGAACCCGGAGAUAGCUGGUUCUCUCCGAAAUAGCUUUAGGGCUAGCGUCGAGUAUGAGUAGUGGAGGUAGAGCACUGAAUGGGCUAGGGGGCAUAGCGCUUACCGAACCUUAUCAAACUCCGAAUGCCACAUACUUUGAGCUCGGCAGUCAGACUACGAAUGAUAAGAUCCGUGGUCAAAAGGGAAACAGCCCCAGAUCGUCAGCUAAGGUCCCAAAGUGUAAGUUAAGUGGGAAAGGAUGUGAGAUUUCUAAGACAACUAGGAUGUUGGCUUAGAAGCAGCCAUUCAUUAAAAGAGUGCGUAAUAGCUCACUAGUCGAGAGAUCUUGCGCCGAAAAUGUAACGGGGCUAAACUUACCACCGAAGCUACGGGCUUGAACUUAGUUCAAGCGGUAGGAGAGCGUCGUAACCGGGCUGAAGUCGUACCGUAAGGAGCGGUGGACUGGUUACGAGUGAGAAUGUUGGCAUCAGUAGCGAGAUGUGGGUGAGAAUCCCACAGGCCGAAAACCUAAGGUUUCCUCAGGAAGGUUCGUCCGCUGAGGGUUAGUCGGGACCUAAGCCGAGGCCGAAAGGCGUAGGUUGAUGGACAAACUGGUUGAUAUUCCCAGUACCAUACCAUCGUUAUUAUCGAUGGGCGUGACGCAGGAGGAUAGUUGUGCUAGCAUUGGAUGCUAGUCUAAGCGUUUAGGCAGUGAGAGUAGGCAAAUCCGCUCUCAUAAUGCUGAGGCGUGGAUGGGGAAGGUUCUACGGAACCGAAGUACAUGAUUCCACGCUGCCAAGAAAAGCGUCUAGAGAGAGAAGUAGUGCCCGUACCGCAAACCGACACAGGUAGGUGAGGAGAGAAUCCUAAGGCCGGCGGAAGAAUUACAGUUAAGGAACUCGGCAAAUUGACCCCGUAAGUUCGCGAGAAGGGGUGCCUACGAGAGUAGGCCGCAGAGAAUAGGCCCAAGCAACUGUUUAGCAAAAACACAGGUCUCUGCUAAAGCGUAAGCUGAUGUAUAGGGGCUGACGCCUGCCCGGUGCUGGAAGGUUAAGGGGAACACUUAGCGCAAGCGAAGGUGUGAACUUAAGCCCCAGUAAACGGCGGCCGUAACUAUAACGGUCCUAAGGUAGCGAAAUUCCUUGUCAGGUAAGUUCUGACCCGCACGAAUGGCGUAAUGACUUGGGCACUGUCUCAACUGUAAAUCCGGCGAAGUUGUAGUGCGAGUGAAGAUGCUCGCUACCCGCGAUUGGACGGAAAGACCCGUAGAGCUUUACUGUAGCUUAGCAUUGAGUUUUGGUAUUGUCUGUACAGGAUAGGUGGGAGACUAGGAAACCAGGGCGUCAGCCUUGGUGGAGUC
RNAcentral lists this ribosomal RNA (2165 nucleotides) under Clostridium perfringens. RNAcentral describes it as "bacterial LSU rRNA". It matches the Rfam family "Bacterial large subunit ribosomal RNA", at positions 3 to 2187 of the family's 2925-position model. Lineage: Bacteria; Bacillati; Bacillota; Clostridia; Eubacteriales; Clostridiaceae. The record is from RNAcentral.